Molecule: microRNA precursor, 95 nt
Filed under: Otolemur garnettii (small-eared galago)
Lineage: Eukaryota; Metazoa; Chordata; Mammalia; Primates; Galagidae
Description: miRNA (ENSOGAG00000030994.1)
Source: RNAcentral
UAUUGAAAAUUAAAUCAUGUAUAUAUAUGUGUGUGUGUGUGUGUGUGUAUAUAUACACACACAUACAUAUCAGUGCUAUGGUUAUAAAAUUUAUA